Molecule: long non-coding RNA, 506 nt
Organism: Hibiscus syriacus
Lineage: Eukaryota; Viridiplantae; Streptophyta; Magnoliopsida; Malvales; Malvaceae
Exons: 2
Source: RefSeq, a predicted model, not a curated record
AUUACCACUAAAAAAAAUCAUGAUUUAUUCCUCUAUCUCUUAAUCAGAGCAAGAACAUCUCUUACACAAAUUCGAUAUCUUUAAGGUCCAAGACAGAGACAAACGUGGUCGUAAAGUUCUUCUCAUCAUCGGUAAAUACUUUCCUGCCCUGGGUCGUGGGUUGGUGCAGUCAAAAUUACCCUGGGGACGUCCCCGGAUAAGUUUUGAUCGUCCCCCAAUUCGAUCAGCCGUAUCCUGUCACCGUGGCACGUCUCUGAUACGUACCCCAAUCGUUCUCGAAUCGUCCCCGUACAAAAAACAUAUCGGGUACUUAAAACGGGCCUCUUUUGUGUCCCCGUGCUUCUUAGAUUUUCCAAAUCCAACAACACCGAGAUGGAGAAUGUCAGCUUAGAAUAACUUACUGCGAAAUUUAUGCAUAUUUUCAUUUUUGAUUUGUAAUUGAGGUGUAUUUGUAUUAUGGGUAUAGUACAUAAAUAAUUUCGAUUAUAGAGUGUUGUUUUAUUGAA